UGGCCAUAUGAUAUUAAUGUCAGAGGUGAAAUCUGAUUGUAAGGCUAACGUAUGCGAAGCAUUGCCAAGGAGUUCAUUAUCAAGAACGAAGAUAGGAUCAAAGCAAUCAGAUACGUUCGUAGUCAUUCUUAAACUAGCGCUAGGGAUGAUGAAACAUCACAUUCAGUACUUAUGAGAAUCAAAGUCUUGGUCUGGGGGGAGUAUGUCGCAAGACUGAAACUUAAAGAAAUUGACGAAGGGCACGACCAGGAGUGGAGCAUGCGCCUUAAUUUGACUCAACACGGGAAACUAACAAGAUCAAAGACGAUAGUAAGGAUUGACAGAUUGAUAGCUCUUUCUUGAUGCGCCUGUGUGCGUGCCGUCUUAGUUGGUGGAGUGAUUUGUCUGGUAAAUCCGAUAACGAACGAGACCUUAACCUGCUAAAUUAGUCGUCCCCAUUUUAUGGGAUAUGACUUCUUAGAGGGACUAUGCAUAUCAAGUGCAAAGAAAGUUUGAGGCAAUAACAGGUCUGUGAUGCCCUUAUAUGUCCUGGGCUGCACGCGUGCUACACUGAUGCAUACAACAAGUGCCUAGCUAGACAUAGUAUGGCAAUCUGGAAUAUGCAUCGUGAUGGGGAUAGAUCUUUGCAAUUAUAGAUCUUGAACGAGGAAUUCCUAGUAAGUGCAAGUCAUCAUCUUGCAUGAUUAUGUCCCUGCCCUGUGUACACACCGCCCGUCGCUCCUACCGAUACCGGGUGAUCCGGUGAACCUGUUGGACCCUUUGGGAAAAAUAACUAAUUCAUAUCACAAAGAGGAAGGAGAAGUGAACAAGUAACCGGCUCCCGUUCCCAGUCUCUU
This 836-nucleotide ribosomal RNA is filed under the name uncultured rumen protozoa. RNAcentral describes it as "bacterial SSU rRNA". It matches the Rfam family "Eukaryotic small subunit ribosomal RNA", at positions 886 to 1831 of the family's 1831-position model. The record is from RNAcentral.